GCUUUUGGUUCAGUGGUAGAAUGCUCGCCUGCCACGCGGGCGCCCAGGGUUCGAUUCCCGGCCGAAGCA
This 69-nucleotide transfer RNA is filed under the name Cordylochernes scorpioides. Its description in RNAcentral is "tRNA-Gly". It matches the Rfam family "tRNA". From Rfam's summary of the family: Transfer RNA (tRNA) molecules are approximately 80 nucleotides in length. Lineage: Eukaryota; Metazoa; Arthropoda; Arachnida; Pseudoscorpiones; Chernetidae. The record is from RNAcentral.